CAGUAGUUAAACUCUACUAUUAAGGG
RNAcentral lists this transfer RNA (26 nucleotides) under Diadema antillarum. Its description in RNAcentral is "partial tRNA-Lys". Lineage: Eukaryota; Metazoa; Echinodermata; Echinoidea; Diadematoida; Diadematidae. The record is from RNAcentral.